RNAcentral lists this small RNA (117 nucleotides) under Arabidopsis thaliana (thale cress). Its description in RNAcentral is "ATSL193720". Lineage: Eukaryota; Viridiplantae; Streptophyta; Magnoliopsida; Brassicales; Brassicaceae. The record is from RNAcentral.
AUAUGUUUAUGUUAGGUUUUGGGGUAUGGAAUGUAUCUCUUAGCUUAGAUGGUUCUGACGAGGUGUGUCCUGUUGUAUUUUGAAUAUGAAGAUUUUGUACAUGUUACGUUGGUUAUC